This 449-nucleotide ribosomal RNA is filed under the name uncultured bacterium. RNAcentral's name for it is "partial 16S ribosomal RNA". It matches the Rfam family "Bacterial small subunit ribosomal RNA", at positions 29 to 523 of the family's 1533-position model. The record is from RNAcentral.
AAUGAACGCUGGCGGCAGGCCUAACACAUGCAAGUCGAACGGAUCCUUCGGGAUUAGUGGCGGACGGGUGAGUAACGCGUGGGAACAUACCCUUUGGUACGGAAUAGCCUCGGGAAACUGGGAGUAAUACCGUAUGUGGUCGAGAGACGAAAGAUUUAUCGCCAAAGGAUUGGCCCGCGUUGGAUUAGGUAGUUGGUGGGGUAAUGGCCUACCAAGCCGACGAACCAUAGCUGGUUUGAGAGGAUGAUCAGCCACACUGGGACUGAGACACGGCCCAGACUCCGACGGGAGGCAGCGGUGGGGAAUCUUAGACAAUGGGGGAAACCCUGUUCUAGCCAUGCCGCGUGAUCGAUGAAGGCCUUAGGGUUGUAAAGAUCUUUCAGGUGGGAAGAUAAUGACUGUACCACCAGAAGAAGCCCCGGCUAACUCCGUGCCAGCAGCCGCCGUAA